ACCUGCAAUUGGAAAAUUACCACUGUUGGAAUCUCUUUGCAUUGAAGGAAUGGAUGGAGGCUACCAAAGGUCUUGCUUUGGUCAUGUUCCUUGCAGAUAUACAGAUUGCCAAUGCCCAAGCAUGGUUUCUGUUUUAACGAAUAACCUGCUUCUGACUUGAAGAAGAUUGAGAAAUGAAGAUGGCAAGAAUUUACAGUGUUUGGUGGAUGAAGAAGAAGAUACUAGCACAACUUCACCUCUCUUAAGCCAGUUACGGUUGUUGGCUGUUCAGCUGACAUAUCUUUUCCAAAAGAGGAUUUCCCUACCGACCUAACAUCACUUGACAUCACAUCACCCAAUAUUUGUAGGUCACUACUUUAAUAGGGAUUGCAUAGACUCAGCUCUCUCAAAAAACUGUCCAUUAAUGGUGAAGAAUGUCCAGAUGUGGUGUUGUUUCCACAAGAGGCGAUAGGAAUGAUGCUGCCUCCCCCUCUCUGCGAUAUCAACAUAAGUGAUUUCGACAACCUGAAAUUUCUAUCCUCGGAUGGCUUUCAAAACCUCACGUCUCUUUGGUCUUUCGAGAUCACUGAUUGCUCUAAGCCCACAUCUCUUCCAGAAAAAGACAUGCUUCUCGCACUUUGCUAUUUUCAGAUUGAUGAUUGUCCUUUUCUAGAAGAAUGGUGCAAAAGGGAUAAAGGACAUACCUCAUGUUGAAAACAAUAAUGAACAAAAUUAUCCCAAAGAAGUUGAAAUCUAGAAAUUGAAAGUCAAAAGGUAUUAAACCAUUUGAAAGAUAGGCCAGAUAAUUGAAUUCUGAUUAUUUAUUCAUUUAAUUUUUGUUAGAUACAUAAGAUAAUAGUAAGUCUGAUAUGUUAUUGAUGAUAUAUAAUUAAUUUACAGCCACAUUGGAGGCUUGAAAGCUACAAAGUGCAGUUCGUAUAUAUAGCUCUAUUCAAAGAUCAGGUACAAGCUUCUCAUUUUCUUUUUCCAUUUCACUUGCACUUAAGCAUAGCAUGCUCAUCAAUCCACAACAUUUAACCAUUAAAACACUUGUGCUCCUCUAACUUCAGGUCUAAACACCUCUUGGUGUGAAUUUGUUGAUUCAUCAUUUUGGCUUACGAAACUGAUUAAAAAGUUCAAGGAUGAAAGGUGAGUUGAUUUUUUUCUACUUUUUUAUGUCAUGUACAUUGAAGAAUUGAAAAGUGAUUGUUAGAAUAUAUACGCAGUUUCAUGGACAAAAUUGUGUUUUAUUUUUUGGUAAGUUAUAUAUUCGUUCAUACAGAAGCAUAUUUGUUUUGAUUUCAGGAGAUUGCCAUUUUGUUAAAGAAAAUUUCUCUUUCUCCUUUUCCAUAUUAUCAAUUUUCUUUGUACGUGAUUACUUUAAACCACACGAAUUAUGCUUUCCUUGAGUAUGUUGGAUAGUGAACUACUUUCUGUUCUUUUAGUAUUUUAAUGUUCAUUUAUUUAGUCCUUUGCUUUCUGAGUUUGUAGAGAAUGGAGAGGAAAGGAAAAAUUACAUCCAUAAAAUUCUAAUUUUUUAUUAGAUUUUCCAUUUCAGACGAGUGUGUCCCCACCAAUUGAAUGUUACUUCGAAUCUCUGCUGCUAAAAUCUGUAUACCAUUAUUACAUUGGGGAGAGCACAUACGAAUCUGUCGUGGACAACUUCCCAUUGGUGGUGCUAACGAUGCAGCCGGCCACCUUUCAAACUUUCCUUGUCACCAAGAAGUUCCUAAAUUUGGAAUACCAGCACUGCAAGGGUUUUCAGAGCAUCUCCUUCCUCAAAGGUUUGUAUACUUAAUUGCCUUAAUCUAUAAAAAGGGAUAAAAGAUGAAGUGAUUAGAGAUAUCUCCUGUAUUAAUAAGUAAUAACAGAUUACUUAUAAGCCACAAGAGGAACAGUGAAAACUUGUUGUUUUUCAUCGAAAAAGAGCGAAAAAAGCAGAAUAUACCAUGCUUGUAAAUUCAAUCCUAGGUAUGUCAAUGGGAAAAUCCUCUCUCCUUUUUUUUCUUUGAACAAUUAAUUAAAACUUGUAUGAUCACCAAGUGUUGAUUUACUUGUACAUACAGAAGUCUGAACAUGAUUAGGAAACAGCAAGGAUGAAUUCAGCCUCCAGUUCUAAUCUAUUGGCCAUAAAAUCAAUGCAAUGCAGAGGUGAGCUUUUAUAUAUUGGACUAUAUUAAGAUUAUAUGCCUCACCAAUAGAAACAAUCCCUUCUUCUAAAUGAUAUAUGCAUGCAUAGUUCUAUUAUUGUAUUGAAUUUCCUCUAGCAGUCACAUAAUAUUGUUUCCACACCACUGGAUAUUACUUAUUAGCCACAGAAGGGAAAAACGGCAAGAAUCAGAGAAACUACCAUACUUGUAGAUAUAUGGUAUGUCAAUUGGAAAAUCCUCCUGUUCUUUUUACACUUUGAUAAUAAUUAAUUAAAGUUUUUAUGCUAACCAAGUUUUAGUCUAGUGUGUACAUGCAGAAAUCUGAGCAUCCAUAGGAAGCAACAACAAUGAAAUUUAACCUCCAGUUGUAAUCUAUUGACUGUAUAAUCAAUUCAAAGCAGAGGUGAGCAUUUUAUUAGACUACCUUAAGAUAAUAUCCCUCACCAAUGGACAGCCCUUAUGAUAAAUAACCUUUUGCAUAUCUAUUAGUUACUCAUCUUCAUUCUCAAUAGUGUGACCCUCAUUCACAAUNGGCUUACGAAACUGAUUAAAAAGUUCAAGGAUGAAAGGUGAGUUGAUUUUCCUCUGCUUUUAUAUGUCAUGUACAUUCCCAUUAAAAGAAAUGUCAUGUACAUUAAAGAAUGGAAAAGUGAUUGUUAGAGUACAUAAGCAGUUUCAUGGACAAAAUUGGGUUUUAAUUUGGUAAAUUACAUAUAUACUUGCCUUGUGAAAUUGUUAGUUGUUUAUACAGAAGCAUAUUUGUUUUGAUUUCAAGAGAUUUCCAUUUUGUUAAAGAAAAUCCAAGUCUCUCUUUCCUUUUCUAUGUUAUCAACUUUCUUUAUACCAUGCCAAUUAUGCUUCCCUUGAGUAUGUUGAACAGUGAACUAAUUUCUUUUCUUUUAGUAUUAUAAUGUUCUUGUAUUUAGUUUUUUGCUUUCUGAGUUCGUAGAGACAAUGUAGAGGAAGCAAAUAAAUUUCAUCCAUAAAAUUCUAAUGUUGUAUUGGAUUUUCCAUCUUAGAGGAGUGUGUCCCCACCAACUGAAUGUUACUUUGGAUCUCUGCUGCUAAAAUCUGUAUACCAUUAUUACAUUGGGGAGAGCACAUACGAAUCUGUCGUGGACAACUUCCCAUUGGUGGUGCUAACGAUGCAGCCGGCCACCUUUCAAACUUUCCUUGUCACCAAGAAGUUCCUAAAUUUGGAAUACCAGCACUGCAAGGGUUUUCAGAGCAUCUCCUUCCUCAAAGGUUUGUAUACUUAAUUGCCUUAAUCUAUAAAAAGGGAUAAAAGAUGAAGUGAUUAGAGAUAUCUCCUGUAUUAAUAAGUAAUAACAGAUUACUUAUAAGCCACAAGAGGAACAGUGAAAACUUGUUGUUUUUCAUCGAAAAAGAGCGAAAAAAGCAGAAUAUACCAUGCUUGUAAAUUCAAUCCUAGGUAUGUCAAUGGGAAAAUCCUCUCUCCUUUUUUUUCUUUGAACAAUUAAUUAAAACUUGUAUGAUCACCAAGUGUUGAUUUACUUGUACAUACAGAAGUCUGAACAUGAUUAGGAAACAGCAAGGAUGAAUUCAGCCUCCAGUUCUAAUCUAUUGGCCAUAAAAUCAAUGCAAUGCAGAGGUGAGCUUUUAUAUAUUGGACUAUAUUAAGAUUAUAUGCCUCACCAAUAGAAACAAUCCCUUCUUCUAAAUGAUAUAUGCAUGCAUAGUUCUAUUAUUGUAUUGAAUUUCCUCUAGCAGUCACAUAAUAUUGUUUCCACACCACUGGAUAUUACUUAUUAGCCACAGAAGGGAAAAACGGCAAGAAUCAGAGAAACUACCAUACUUGUAGAUAUAUGGUAUGUCAAUUGGAAAAUCCUCCUGUUCUUUUUACACUUUGAUAAUAAUUAAUUAAAGUUUUUAUGCUAACCAAGUUUUAGUCUAGUUGUACAUGCAGAAAUCUGAGCAUCCAUAGGAAGCAACAACAAUGAAAUUUAACCUCCAGUUGUAAUCUAUUGACUGUAUAAUCAAUUCAAAGCAGAGGUGAGAUUUUAUUAGACUACCUUAAGAUAAUAUCCCUCACCAAUGGACAGCCCUUAUGAUAAAUAACCUUUUGCAUAUCUAUUAGUUACUCAUCUUCAUUCUCAAUAGUGUGACCCUCAUUCACAAUAGGUUUAAGUAGAUGAACCCUGAUUGAAAGUACAUUGCAGUUCUCAAGUAAUGCGUAGAAUUAUUUUUUCACACCAGAACUGUUGUACAACUUGGCACACAGAGAUGCAAAGAGCUUAUGUAACAGCUUUCAUGGCUCUUUAUGCCAAGCUUUUUUUGCUUCUAAUAUUACAUAUUACCAUGCCCUGCAUGUUGCUUCUUCAGCCUUCAACACUAAUCUCUCUAUGUCAAUCCCAGUGAGUCUUCAAUCCCUCCAAAUGACCCAAAAAGUAUCACUAGAGGCAAAAAGUGUCACUAGCGGCAGCACCAAUGCUAACAUACAUCAUUGCAACAUGUCAUCACCUAAAGAGCAAUCAAUGUCAUUGACAGUCAAGAUUUUCUUUUCUAACACUAUGAAUCAGUUGGGUAAGAAUAACUUAUUAAAAAAUUUGCUCUUCAUUUAUCAUUUCUCUUUGCAAAGAAACUUCUUCAAAUUCAUCAGUAGUAUCAUCACUAAUAGAUUCACACUAAUCCCUUAACAAAUUUUCAUAGAUAGACUUUGUAAUGUGCCAUAAACUAGUUGAGCUUCAGUUUUCUUUUUCUUUUUCAUGAUUAUGCUAUAUAAAGUUUGUAUACUAUGGUAUUGGACUUCAGAAGGAUUAAUUUUCUUGCGCUUUUGAAUUGAGAUUAUGAGAUGUAUAAUAGAUUCAAGCUAAAUGUUAAUCUCUUUUUCCUACUCUUCGUCCUUUCUCUUUUAUCUUCUUCUUUGGCAAAUAAAGAGAUCCAACAAAUUUCAAUACAGGAAAUAAACUGAAUUUUUAUGGCUAUCAUCUGAUGGAUGUUAAGCCAUAAUGCAUGAGCAGGCCUUAAAUCUUCUUGUUUCGCUGAUAGCGAUCUAACUUCUCUGUCACUUGGCUGUGGCAAUGCUUAAAACUUCUGCAGAUCAAAACACCUUUUUCCUUUUAUUGGAUAUGUAUAGUGCAUGCCUUCAUUUUGUAUAAUCAGUAAUGUUCUUUGGCUUUUCAGAAGGUUCUUGUCUGUGUCAUCCCUGUGCCAAAAAGGAGCGUUACAAUGGUAGACGGGAGUUUUGAUGCAAGAUGUUCUAAAAAUGUUUUACCUCUGUUGGUGCCUCAUCCUUAGUCCCACGUAAGUCUCAUGAAUGGUUGGGAAUAGCUAAGUUAUUUUAUUGUUUUUUGACUAGAAUGUCAACAUGAUGUCAUGGUCUUACCCCUGAGGCCACAUUGUUUGACCAGGUGCCACAACCAAAGAAGCUGAAUGUCAAGUUUCCUACUAGUGUUAGUGUCAAUUUUUUAUAUUAAUAGUUAUUCUGUUUUUUCUUCUUGGUAUUUUAUGUUCCUUCAUUAAUAUUGGGAAUUUGGACCUAUGCAUUCUUUCAACCUGAUAUUUUAUUGUAAAAGAAAUGCCAUGAGCAUGGAUAACGGAUGUGGGCAUGAUAACUUGUCAAGUCACCAUACAAAAUUCAUGAAAGCAUAGUGAUUUGCGACCAGGCUGCCAUUGUUGGGAUUUUUGUUAUUGUGGAUUAUGGUGAUUAUUAAAGUCAUAACUGUGGCAAUUUUUUUCUAACAGGCUACUCGUUAUCCAUCACUUUAUGAAGCAAUCGAUGGGUUGUGCAACAGCUACUGAGCCAAGAUUAAAGCAGAAUGGAUUGUUGUGACAAAUUAUUGAUCUGGCACUACCAUGGAGUUUUCUACAGCACUAAUUCAUGGGAAAUAAAAAGCUGAUGAAGUCUUUAGGCCACUUGUACCUACUUUCACUGCAUUAUUUUUCAUAUACAUUCUUUUAGGGGAAAUGAGAAUGGGGGUGAGAGUGGGGAUGCUAAUUGGUAUAUCAAUAAAGUUUAUCACUGUUUGCUAAAGGAUACUUAUUUGUAUUCAGGUGAUGUGUCCUAACCAGGUAAUGGUUAUGCAAUCAGGGAGCUAAUCUCUACGAUCCAAACACAGAAAUUCAAUUAUAGCCAACUGGUGAGAUUUUUGCUUUGCUUUAUGAUUUUUACUUCAUCGUUUCAUAUAAUAGUUCACACAUAUCUGUCUUAUUUCUAAAGCAUAUCUCCAAUUAUAUUUACUUGCAUCUAGUUGAUGUCAGCAGAAUUUUAGAACUCAUCUGAGUUUCAAAAAUGUAUUAGUUCUAACUGUGUCUGACCAUAUACAAUAAAUAAUGAGAUAGCAUAAUGGGGAAUUCUUGGAAAAGUGAAGUAUACUUUAGAUAUACUUAUUAUUAUUGUCAUCGAAUGUCUGAAAAUAUUUGAUUUUUUUGCUUUUUGUUUAUAGCUCCUGAGAAAGGGAAAUGAGUGCCAAUAGUAAAAUCACCACAUAUUUGCAGAACCUGAGGUCUCCCAAUUGGGAAGGUGGGCAACACCUCACUUCAGUUCCCUUUCUAUAUAUAACUGUUAAUUAAAUUUUAAUUUUAAUACUUGAAAAUGCAGCAUGAUAAGAAGUUAUUGACCUUUCUUGGGAAGUAGAUUGAAAAUGUAGGGAUCAUUUGUAUGUUUUUUGCUGCUACUUUCCCUUUUUUUCUUAUGUUACUCAGGUCUCUCAUAUUUUCCUAUGUAAUGUAAUUGCAUAAGUUCAGGAAGAGUCAUGUCUAAAAUGUAACCACAAGAAUAUUUUAGUGAUGGCAGGUUCAGAUACUCAGGCAUGCCUCUUUCACCUAAGCACUGCUUGGGACCCUUGUGUCAAGAGGUUGAGGAGGAUUGCAAUUAUGUUCUAUAUUUAUGUCAAUUUUCUUGCAGUCCUGGUGCAAGUUACUUUCUCCGAUGAUGCUAUUUUGGUCUCAUCCCCUUUGCAUCAGAUUCCUGUUGCAAUGCGUUUGAGCCUUUUCUGGAUUACUCUGGUGGUUUACUUCCUAUUCUGCUGCUUCUCCAUGGCUAGUAAGAUAUGAGGCUGGCUUUAAUGAGAAACGGAGGUGGGUGGACGAGAUUAUUUUUCGUUGUAAGCUUUGUUCUCUGCAUUGGCGUAGACCUUUGGCUGAUGGCAUCUUGUUCUCGGACUAGGAUUCUGUGGCUUGCUCCCCUUCCUUCCAGUAACAUCUCCGUGGACCUGCUGGCUGCGGUUGAGUGUUAAGAGAUUCCUCUGGCUCUAUUCUAGCUUUGUUUUCUGGCCAAAUUGGUGUGCUAGACCAAUGUUGUUGAAAUAUAAUACUAUAUUUGCUUUGGAAAUUUUCUCUAGGACAUAUUGGAAAGAGAAAAAGGUGCUGGUGGUUGAAUGAGAUUCGACGGUAGUUGUGCCUUGGGUGAAAAAGUUUGAGGAUUGCCCAUGGAGUGUGUGUGUUACCUUCAAUUAGAUUGAUCCACUUAUUGCUGACAUUGGUGAAGUCUCCUUUGGUAAUAUCUGUUGGGAAGUUAACGGCCUUGCUGACUCUUUAGUGUGUAGAACUGGCAUGUUCAUGGCUUGGUGGUUCAGCAGGCUAUUAGUUUAUCUCCACCCUUUGGGCGCCAUUCUACCAGGCCUGUUAUUAGAGGUUUUAUGCUGUGUAUAUUUUUACGCUUUUGGGUGGUAGUGUAGUCACAGGGAGAUUGCUUGUUAUCUGUACAUGAACCCAAUAUAUAAGAACCAACUCAAGCCGCCACAAGAAUACUCAAGCAGUACAUCACAAGAGUCCAUAACUUUACCAGUAAGUUUUUAUAUUUUACACAUUGAUUGCAUGCUUCAUUCGUUAAGAACGAAAGAAACCAAAUGCUAACACAAGAAAGCACCUGGAGAAGCUUGUGUUUGGGAUUAGCUGAUGGAUGCAAACUAAAGUUAACAGAAAUAAUUUAGAAACUUUCUUCUUUCCCUUUGUAGAAGCAUACAUUGGGAGAUGAAAUUGAAGUUAUACAAGAAUAAAGCUAAUUAAGGGCCAAAGACAACCUUUCCACUCUGCAGCCUCCUUCCCAACCCAACAACAAAUAGCAAAACUUGCAUGAUGAACUCAUCUUACAUAAUGCCAUUUCUGUCUGCCAUAAGAUUAAGGCCUAGAAUUUUCAAUUUUUUUUUUUUUACUCAGCAAGAAUUUUCACUAUUGAAAAUUUAACGUGUGAAUAAAUUUAAAAAUAUUGGUAAAAUUAUAUUUUUUAAAUAUGAAUAAUAAUUAUGAAAAAAAAAUCUAUUAAUUAUUCACUUGACUUUACAAAAAAUAAAUACCAAUAAACUCGUUGUUCAUUACUUCUAUACCAUAUGUGAAUAGUCAUCAAAUAGUUGAAAUCAAAAUAAAGUAGCAUUAUUCUUUAAAAUUUUUCUCCAUCUCUCUCAUUUUUAUCUAUCUCUAUUUAACUUUUAUGUAUUUAUAUUAAAUUUUUUAUGUUUAUACAAAAUUGAGGUUCCAUGGUUUUUAAUAUAAAAAGUUAAAAAAAUCAUGAAAAAUUAUUUUGAAUAUAAAAAAGUAAUAGUAUUAGCUGUUAAAAAAAAGAAUAUAAUAUUAAAAUAUUAAAAAAAUAUAAUAUGAAUACCCUUUAUAAUAAUUUUAAUCAAAAUUAAAAUUUAUAUAAUUUAUUUUACCAAACAGUUUUAACUUAAUUUUAAAAUAUAUUAUUUUCAUAAAAACUUCCUAAUAACUUUUAAGUUAAAAAAAAAAAACCUAAACCAAACAUGCUCUUCGUAAGUUUCUACUUUGUUAAUGGCUCUAAUAUUUUUCCCUCUUUUUUAACUAUGUAUUUCGUAGUUUCAGGGUGGAUUUGAUGGUGUCAGGCAUCAUCUUCCUUAGGGAAGCUAGUGAACUUGCUCUAGAAGCCGGCAAAGCCAAACAUACCUUAUGGACCAAUAUGUGCGUCUUCAACUUGUCUUGGAGCACAUGGCUUACUCAAGGUAAUUUCAACGUCACUUUCUUGGAGACAUUUUAUGGAGAUUAUAUUUAUCCUAGUGACUUGGUCAAUUUAGAAACUUAUCAAACAAAUCAUGAACUUAGUACUUGAAAAGCCAUAAUCUAGUGUUGUUACAUGAAGUAGAUUCUAGAGAGGUGAUUCAAUUUCUUCCAAUAUAUUUUGCAGACGGCAAUUGCUAUUUAGAUUUAACCGAGCACUUCUGGACUUGACAAUUUUGAACUUAUCUUCAAAGAAGUGAGGAAAGGGAAUAAAGUUGGUCUGUAAUUGUGGUACUCUGUAAAAUUCUAAUUUUGUAUUGACUUUUCAUUAGCAGUCAAAUAAUAUUGUUUCCACACCCACUGAAUAUUACUCAUUAGUUACAGGAGGAAUUAUGGAAAACUAGUUGAGAUCAUAGAAGGGAAAAAGGGCAAAAAUCAGAGAAACUACCAUGCUUGUAGAUAUAUGGUAUGUCUCCCUUUUCUUUUUGCACUUUGAUAACAAUUAAUUAAAGUUUUUAUGGCAACCAAGUUUUAGUCUACUUGUGCAGGCAGAAAUCUGAGCAAGAGUAUGAAGCAGCAAGGAUGAAAUUUAGCCUGGAGUUGUAAUCUAUUGACUCUAUAACCAAUUCAAAGCAGAGGUGAGCUUUUAUUAGGCUACCUUAUGCCUCACCAAUGGAAAAUCCCUUACUGUUGUAUAAGUUGGCAUACAGAGAUGCAAAGAGCUCAUGUAACAGCUUCCUUGGCUCUUUAUGUCCUGCUUUUUCUGCUGCUAAUAUUACACAUUUACCAUACCCUGCGUUUGGGUUCNNNNNNNNNNNNNNNNNNNNNNNNNNNNNNNNNNNNNNNNNNNNNNNNNNNNNNNNNNNNNNNNNNNNNNNNNNNNNNNNNNNNNNNNNNNNNNNNNNNNNNNNNNNNNNNAAAAAAAAAAACCUAAACCAAACAUGCUCUUCGUAAGUUUCUACUUUGUUAAUGGCUCUAAUAUUUUUCCCUCUUUUUUAACUAUGUAUUUCGUAGUUUCAGGGUGGAUUUGAUGGUGUCAGGCAUCAUCUUCCUUAGGGAAGCUAGUGAACUUGCUCUAGAAGCCGGCAAAGCCAAACAUACCUUAUGGACCAAUAUGUGCGUCUUCAACUUGUCUUGGAGCACAUGGCUUACUCAAGGUAAUUUCAACGUCACUUUCUUGGAGACAUUUUAUGGAGAUUAUAUUUAUCCUAGUGACUUGGUCAAUUUAGAAACUUAUCAAACAAAUCAUGAACUUAGUACUUGAAAAGCCAUAAUCUAGUGUUGUUACAUGAAGUAGAUUCUAGAGAGGUGAUUCAAUUUCUUCCAAUAUAUUUUGCAGACGGCAAUUGCUAUUUAGAUUUAACCGAGCACUUCUGGACUUGACAAUUUUGAACUUAUCUUCAAAGAAGUGAGGAAAGGGAAUAAAGUUGGUCUGUAAUUGUGGUACUCUGUAAAAUUCUAAUUUUGUAUUGACUUUUCAUUAGCAGUCAAAUAAUAUUGUUUCCACACCCACUGAAUAUUACUCAUUAGUUACAGGAGGAAUUAUGGAAAACUAGUUGAGAUCAUAGAAGGGAAAAAGGGCAAAAAUCAGAGAAACUACCAUGCUUGUAGAUAUAUGGUAUGUCUCCCUUUUCUUUUUGCACUUUGAUAACAAUUAAUUAAAGUUUUUAUGGCAACCAAGUUUUAGUCUACUUGUGCAGGCAGAAAUCUGAGCAAGAGUAUGAAGCAGCAAGGAUGAAAUUUAGCCUGGAGUUGUAAUCUAUUGACUCUAUAACCAAUUCAAAGCAGAGGUGAGCUUUUAUUAGGCUACCUUAUGCCUCACCAAUGGAAAAUCCCUUACUGUUGUAUAAGUUGGCAUACAGAGAUGCAAAGAGCUCAUGUAACAGCUUCCUUGGCUCUUUAUGUCCUGCUUUUUCUGCUGCUAAUAUUACACAUUUACCAUACCCUGCGUUUGGGUUCAUCAGGCUUCAGCACUAAUCUGUCGAUGUCAAUCCCAGUGAAUCUUAAAUGCCUCCAAAUGAGGCAAAAAGUGUCAAUAGUGGCAGUAUCAAUGCUAGCAUAUAUAAAAAAAUAUAAAUAGGGUCACAAACUCCGACAUUUUGAACCCCUUGUUGCUCCAGUUUGUGUGAAUUGUUUGACCUAGGUGCCACAACCAAAGGAGCUGAAUAACAAGUUUCCUAGUUUUAGUGUCAAAUUUUUUAUGUUAAUAGUUACUCUGUUUUUCUUCUUGGCAUUUUAUAUUUAUUCACUACGAUUGGGAAUUUCUUAUAUGUGUUAUGUCUUUUCUUUAACAGAAACAGGGGAAACAGAAUAAAAAGGAAAGAAAGAUAAAUAAAAUUUAAAAUAAAAUGUAUUUAUUUGUUUUCAUAAACUUUUGAAAUGAUAGUGAACUAUGCGGUACUUAUAGGACUUUUCUUGCUGCCAAGCAGUGACAUACAAAAGCUAAACAUUUAAAAUGUUUCAUUUGACCUAGUAACUAAAAUAUUGCCACUACCUACAUCUUGGGAGCUUAGUGACUGUUUAGCUUGAUUUUUUUUUAACUUAUUUACUUAUUAAAAAUAGAAGUCAAUUCAAAUAGGAUUUUUGGCAAGAAAUUUUUUUAAAAAAACAAAAUUUAAAAAAAACCUUAAAGAAAAAAUUUGAAUAUGAACUUUCACUUCUCUUCUUUUCAAAAUACAUCAGCUUUUCAAAAAAUACUCAUCUCUCUCUCAAUCAAUCUCCCUCUACUCUCCCUCCUUCUACAAAUCACUUUUUUCUAACAUAAAUGACAAUCUCCCUCUCUCUCUACAAAGACUACUAGAAAAAAAAAAAAAAUCUAGCAACAGAAUAACAAAAUUUAAAGUUUUUUUGUUUUUACAAAAAUUAAAAAGGAAAAAAAAUCUAAAAUUUAAAGCUGCAUUUAGUAACUAUUUAAAGAUUUUUUUUUUUUCACAAAAAAUGAUUUUAAUAUCAAAUACAUCAUUUUCUCUUUUUUUUUUUGUUGAGGAAUUGAAGCAUCAUGGUCUGAUUAUUUGUUGGAUUAAUAAAAAUCUAAUACUAUUACUAGUACACAAGUUUGAGCAUUAUUUCGUUUUUUUAUGGAUUUUUUUAUUUUACCAUCUAAAAUCAUAUAUAAACUCAAAACAAACUUAUUCUGCUUUAAUUUUUUAAAUGUUUGAAAAUGAUAUGAAUACGCUUUAUGAUAAUUUUAAUCAAAAUUAAAAUUUAUAUUAUUUAUUUUACUAAACAUCUUACCAAACAACUUUAAUUUAAUUUUAAAAUAUAUUAUUUUUCAUAAAACCUUUGUAAUAGUUUUAGAUUAAAAAAAAGCUAAGCUAAACAGUUUCUUUGUAUGUUUUAACUUUGUUAAUGGCUCUAAUAUUUUUUCCCUUCUUUUUAACUAUGUAUUUCGUAGUUUCAGGUGGAUUUGAUGGUGUCAGGCAUCAUCUUCCUUAGGGAAGCUAGUGAAUUUGCACUAAAAGCCGGUAAACCCAAAACAUACCUCAUGGAGCAAUACGUGCAUCUUCAGCUUGUCCUGGAGCCCACGGCUUACUCAAGGUAAUGUCAACAUCACUUUCUUGGAGACAUUUUAUCUUGGUGACUUUGUAAAUUUGAAAACUUAUCAAACAAAUUAUGAACUUAGUACUUGAAAAGCCAUAAUCUAGUGUUGUUACAUGAAGCAGUUUCUAGAGAGGUGAUUCAAUUUCUUCCAAUAUAUGUUGCAUUAGGGAAUUGCUAUUUAGAUUUAACCGUGCACUUCUGGACUUGACAAUUUUGAACUUAUCUUGAGCAAAUUUAAGAUUGCUUAUCUUGAAAGAAGUGAGGAAAGGGAAUAAAGUUGGUCAGUAAUUAUGGUACUCUGUAAAAUUCUAAUUUUGUAUUGAAUUUUCACUAGCAGUCAGAUAAGAUUGUUUCCACACCCACUGAAUAUUACCCAUUAGUCACAGGAGGAAUUGUGGAAAACUAGUGGAUAUCAUAGAAGGGAAAAAGGGCAAAAAUCAGAGAAACUACCAUGCUUGUAGAUAUAUGGUAUGUCAAUUGGAAAAUCCUCCCUUUUCUUUUUGCACUUUGAUAAUAAUUAAUUAAAGUUUUUAUGGUAACCAAGUUUUAGUCUAGUUGUACAUGCAGAAAUCUGAGUCCGGUUGUAAUCUAUUGAGACCAAUUCAAAGCAGAGGUGAGCUUUUAUUAGGCUACCUUAUGCCUCACCAGUGAAAAAUCCCUUACUGUUGUACAAGUUGGCAUACAGAGAUGCAAAGAGCUCAUGUAACAGCUUCCUUGGCUCUUUAUGUCCUGCUUUUUCUGCUGCUAAUAUUACACAUUUACCAUACCCUGCAUUUUGGUUCUUCAGGCUUCAGCACUAAUCUCUCUAUGCCAAUCCCAGUGAAUCUUGAAUGCCUCCAAAUGAGGCAAAAAGUGUCAAUAGUGGCAGCAUCAUGCUAACAUAUAUCAUUGCACCAUGUCACCAGCGGAAGAUCGAUCAAUGUCAUUGAUAGUCAAGAUUUUACUUUUCUAACACUACAAAUCAGUUGAGUAAGAAACAACUGACUAGAAAAUUUGCUCCAUUUAGCAUUGCUCUCUGCAAAGAACUUGUUUGAAUUCAUCAAUAGUAUCACGACUAAUAGAUUCACACCCAUCCCCUAAUAAAUUUCGUAGAUAGACUUUGUAAUGUGUCAUAAACUAGUUGAGCUUUCAGUUUUCUUCUUUCUUUUCAUGAUUAUGCUAUAUAAAGUUUGCAUCCUAUGGUAUUGGAAAUUUGGAAGGGUUAAUUUUCUUGUGCAUUUUGAGUUGAGAUUAGAGAUAUAUAAUGGAUUCAAGCUAAAUGUUAAUCUCUUUUUCCUACUCUUCCUCCUAUCUCCAUUAUCUUCUUAUUUGGCAAAUAAAGAGAUCUAACAAAGUUCAAUACAAGAAAUAAACUGAAAAUUUUGAUGGCUAUCCUCUGAUGGAUGUUAAGCCAUAAGCUACCCCGCAUUGCAGCAUGAGCGGGCCUUAAAUCUUCUUUUCUAGCUAAUAGCAAUCUAACUUCUCUUUCACUUGACUGUGGCCAAGCUCAGAACUUCUGCAAAUGAAAACACCUUUUUCCUUUAUUAGAUAUGCUUAUAAAUGUCAACAUGAUGUCAUAGCCUUGUCCUUUAUUAGAUAUUCACUACGAUUUGGAAUUUCUUAUGUGUGUUAUGUCUUUUUUUUAACACUGCUUCCGCUUCCAAAGUGUUAAAUGGUAAGGCAAACUUCUUCAAACAGUUCGUGCAUUUAGUUUCAUAGAACUGCUUUUUUCUUUUAAUUCCUUCUGUGCUUCGAGGUUUUUUUGGCUGUUUUUGAAUGGGACUGAGCUGAUGGAGGCUUUUAUAAUAAUAAACCUAUUGAGGAGAUGAAAGAUAAUGUGACAGGGGAUUCUGUCAACAAGAAGCUUUGCAUGCUUGCCACAGUGUCAAUAUUGUUGCUGAUGCUCUUAUCUCUGAUUUCAAUGCCAUGGUUGUCAAUCUCAUUGCACCCCCUCUAGGCUGUAAGUGCCUCUCUCUGUUUGAAUGAUGCUUGUGUUUCUGAUUCCAUUUUUUUGUUGUUUGAGCUUGAGAUUUCCUUUUGCAAGACAGUUCCCAAAUUUUGUGUUUGAAUUUGGAAUUUGGACCUCUGGAUUCUUAGAAAAUAUUUUAUAAAACAGUGUCUAACCGUAUACAAUGAAUAAUGAGAUAGCUUAAUAGGGGAUUCUUAGAAAAGUAAAGUUUUAGAAAUAUUUAUUAUUAUUGUCAGAAAGGGCAGGAAAGCGGCACAGAAUCAGAGAAUAGGAAUAUUCUUAUUUCACAAAAGUAGGGAAAAGCCUUUACAAGGUUUAUAUACAAAGAUUCAGUAUAAAGCUAAAAAGGAAAAACAAGUCAUUAAAGCAUAACUAACUAAUCAGUACAUUAACUAAUUUUUGAAAUAAAACGGUGCAGCUUUGAUUUCUUCUCCUUUUAUUGAAACGUUGCCUACAGGUCUUCUCUUCUUCCUUUCUACCCCAUUUUUAUUGAAACGGUGCGUUGGGGUCUUCUCCUUGUGACUGUCUUCUUUUCAACCCGAUCACCUCUGCUCAGGUCAGUCACUUAUUCAGCUUUUCAAUUCUUCAAGUGUAAGUUCAAUAAUUAUUGCCAUCAAAUAUCUGAAAGAGAUUUGAUUUUUACUUCUUUUUUAUAGCUCCUGAGAAAGGGAAAUGAGUGCGAAAAGUAAAAUCACCUCGAGAUAUUUGCAGAACUCGAGGUCUUUCAAUUGAGAAGGUAGGCAGCACCUCACUUCAGUUCCCUUUCUAUAUGUACCUGUUAAUUAAAUUUUAAUUUUAAUUUCAAUAUAUAACAUUUCUUGGGAUGUAGAUUGAAUUCUGCUUUGGGUUUGUAGGGAUCAUUUGCGUGUUCUUUGCUGCCACUGCAACCACUGCUGCUGCUACUUUUGCUUUUUUUCAUAGGUUACUCAGGUCUCUCUUAUUUUCCUAUGUAAUGUAAAUAUACGUAAUUGAUUUCUUUACAUCACAAGUCCUAGAAGAGUCUGGUCUAAAAUGUAACCACAACACUGUUUUGAUGAUGGCUGGCAGGUUCAUUUACCCCCAGAGAUAGGGCGUGCCUCUUUCAGCUGAACACUGUUAAGGACCCUAGUGUCAAGAGAUUGAGGAGGAUGGCAAUCAUGUUCUAUAUUUAUGUCAAAUGUUCUUGCAGUUCCGGUGCAAGUUACUUCCUCCCAUGAUGCUAUUUUGGUCUCAUCCCUUUUGCAUCAAAUUCCUCUUGCAAUGCUUGUGAGACUUUUCUGGAUUGCUCUGGUGGUUUGCUGUCCAUAUAUUCUGCUGCCUCUCCAUGGCUAGUAAGAUAUGAGUCUGGCUUUAAUGAGAAAAAGUGGUGGGCUGAUGAGAUUAUUUUUCUUUGUAAGCUUUGUUCUCUGCAUUGGGUUAGAGCUUGGGCUGAUGGCAUCUUGUUUUUGGACUAAGAUUCUGUGGCUUUAAGGAGACUUGGUGAAGUCUUUGAAGCAUGUUGCCCUGUCAAAUUUAUCACCUGUUGAUUGUCAGUGGCAUCCAGAAGAAGUGAAUGGUUAUCUAUCACCUCUGCAAGCAGCUGGAUUUCCAGUUCUCUUUCUCCCAUUUGUAUUUUUUCCUUCCCCUAAAAAGUUGCCAAGAUAGGCCUUGGGUUUCUUCCUAUGUAUUUCAACUGUUUGUUCAUUCAUAGCUCCCUGUGUAUCACAACUUGUCCUGAAAAUUUUAAUUUAGUAUUUCAAUGAAUGAUGUGGCUUACUCAUAAAGUCAAAUUCAAACUUCCUUAAUAUAAAUUCGGCAUCUACCAGUCAACUAUCUUAUAACAUUCUAGUGUUUGGUCACUAUUAUAGUUCGACGAGACUAUAAAAAAAAUCUUAGUAAGUUCUUAUUACGAUUAAAUUCAAGUUUAUUGAAUGUUUCUAAUCAAAAUUUUUAUAAAUGAUUGUAAUUGAAUGUCUCAUGAAUCAAGGUAAAAUUAAUUACUAAGUAAUUUUAAUUCAAUUUUUUGAUAGUUUUAAUAGCUAAGCUAUACCUUGCACUUUUCAUUAACACUUGCCAACACAUUUAUUAUAAUUCUAUUAAUUAGGUACUUGUUUAUUGCCAAAUAUUUCUUCUAUAAGGUUUGCUUGUGCACUCCAUUGAUAUUUUUUUUUUGGAAUUUAAAAUAUAUUCUUUUACAUUGUCUAACAAUUCAACUGUCAUAUUUUUUUACAAAAAUAAACACCAAUAAAGUAGUUGUUCAUUAUUUCUAUACCAUUUGUAAUACUCGUCAAAUAGUUGAAAUCAAAUAAAGUCAUAUUAUUCUUUAAAAUUUUUCUUCAUUUGUCUCAUUUUUAUUUAUCUCCAUUUAACUUUCACAAAAUAUAAAAAAAAAUUAUUUUGAUGUAUUUAUAUUAAAUUUUUUAUUUUUUUACAUAAAUUGAGGUUUCAUGGUUUUUAAUAUACAAAAUACAAAAAGAUCAUGAAAAAUAAUUUUUGAAUAUAAAAGAAAUUAAAAUUAAUAAGGAAGUCAUUGAGCCUAAGAUACCUGUCUCAUCUAAGCAUUUCAUGCAUGAAUGCUUUUCAUUUUUUAAUGAAAAGUAGUAAUACAAUAUUUACAUUUCUCUACAACUAUUACAUAAAUAAGCCAAUAUUUUCAUUGGCAGAAAUAUUACAUUUGGAUAUUUUUCUACAUUCGAUGCAUUGGCAGUAUUUUUUUUUUAACGUUAUAAGUAAGUUUAAAGGGUUGACAUGUAUUCAUUUAGGUAUAUUUUAAAAGAAAAUAAUGAAUUGUUUAAUUCUUAAAUAAACAUAUAAAAAUUUUAAUCUCACUUGUGGAAUUAAAAGAAUUUACUAUCAAUAUACAAAAUAAUAAUCUAUUUUUUCAUAAAACUAAGCAAACUCAUCACUUUAAUUUUUUCAUUCUCUUUUUUUUUUUUGCUAUAUUUUUAUACUUGUAGGGUUACUCACAUUUUUCAAGUAAUUAAAUUUAUUUAUCAUAUGAAUAAUUUUUAAAAAAAUUUAUUAGAAAAUAAAAAUAACUAGGGUUUGGGGAAGUAAGGGGCAAACGGCACUGUUUAGGAGAGAUAACAACGUAAAAAAAUAUAAUAAGGUUUAAGUUAUCCUAUGGAUGAUACCCAGAAUGUAUCCAAAUUUGAGUUAGAUAUUAAAACUUUAUCCAAACUUGCUACAUAAUCAAAUAUAGGGUACUCAAACUUUAUGUUAUCAAGUCGGAUAUCCGUAGAUCUAUUGUAUAACAAUUUCUUUAGGAAACUAUUGAUUGCCUGUACUUAUACCAAAAGGAAUGAACAAGUUAUUUUACUAUAAAUAACAAUAGGACCACUAUAGCAAAAAAAGAGAAUUGCAAGUAAAUGAAAAAUUUUCUACACACUAACUUUAAAGUUUUUAGUUAACAAAUUAAAAAAUUGUCUUAUGAUUGAUUAGAGUAUGUUUAUUGAAAUCAAUAAAUUGUUAUAAUAAUUAAAUAAAUAUGCUAUAUAUAAAAUAAUAAUUUGGCCAAAGAAAAGAGGACAUACUAUUAAAUCAAAAUUUGAACCAACAUGAACCCACCACCACUAGCUUGUUUAGUGCCCAUUUCCUUUAUUUUCCAUGAAGAAGAAUUAAUCAGCCAAGUAACGAUAAAAAAAAGAAAGAUAUUUAAAGAAAUUUUGAUAAAACAGAAUAAAUUACAAAUAUAAUUUUGUUUUGUUGAAGUAUUUUGAAGCACAAAAUUGAGAAAGACCAAUAAUUAAAUAAGCUUUGAUUGAUUUAUUUGAUAAUAACGAAAUCUGUGAAUACCAAAAGGCUGAAAUUAAGUAAGGAAAUGCUUCAUUUUAAAGAGAGAGUAAGGAAAGAAGAAGCAAGUAAAACCAUGGAAAGAUGCAGUAAAAUUAAGAGAGCAAUGAAUGAAGGGAUUAAUGAAUACUUCGGCACGCACCUAAGGACAUGUGAAUUUGUUUAAUAAAUUUUAAAUUGUUUCCAAAGGGAGAGGAAUAGUUGUGAUCAAAGUAUUGGAACACGUGGCCGUACUGGUUCUUUAACUUGGUUUUGCCUUUAUUCAUGGCAGAAACAAACAGAAGUACUACAGUACCCUAAAUAGUCCAAUAACCAAAUUAUUACUACUCACUAGAAUUGAACCCCUACUUUGCGUUGCGGCAAAAUGAAAGAAUAUUUAUUUCGUUGGAUAGAAAACUUUUGAGUUAGAAUUGUUUGUCUUAAAUUAUGUGUUUGUAAAAAUAUCUAUACACAAAAAUUAUUGUAAAGGUAACCACAAAGUGAAUAAUUGUUACAUGGUUGUUCACAAUUUUAUGUAUUAAUUUUCAACUAACUCACAAAAAGUUAAUGCUUAUGAAAAAAAUUAAGAUAAAAUAUAAAUUGUUAUGAAUCAGAAUUAUAUUGUGUUGUUACUAUAAAAGCUAUUAAAGUAAUUUCGUAACUUAAGUAGUUUCUAUUAAAUUUAAUAGAGUAGUAGAGUAUACUGAUUUGAUCAAUAUAUUCCCAACAUUACUGUUAUAUAUUAACUUAAUUAAGAAUAAAGUAACCUAUUUUUCAUAAAAAAACCAACAAAUUCGAACAAAAUUGAAUAAAUAUCUAAAUAAGAUACAUACAAAAAAAUAAACUGAAAAAAAAUAACAAAUUUUUUGUGCUCAAAUACAAAGAUAAGAAACAAACAUAAGGAGGCAGAAAAGAAAUUAAUUAAAAAAUACCAAGCAACUCCAUAUCAGAUUCAAUUUUGUAGCUUUCAUGUGCUCUUAUGAAUAAAUUUUUUACAAACUAUUUAUAGAAAUAAUUACAUAGUUGUCAUAUUAAAGAGACUAAUAAGGAUAGCAGCACACCGAUAAAUAGUUUGUGAUUCUUUUAUGCUAGCUGCUUUGACCUGAGCAUGUGAAAGAAGAAAAAAAAUAUUAAUGGCAGAAAGAAGGAGAAACUAAAGAGAGGUUUGCACAUGAUAUUCAUUAAAUUAAGAUGUUGUAUAAAUAUUUUUUUACAAUCAAUAAUCCAUGGAUUAUAAUAUAAAACUUCAAUGAACGCAAAUAAAAGGUCAUAAAAUAACUAAAUGAUUAUGAAUGAGUAACAAAUAAGGAACCAAAACAAAUUGAAAAUUACAAUCAGAUAAGGCAAGCAAAAAUAAUAGAAAGGAAAGAAACAGAGAAAAAACAAUUGUUACAAAGACAAAAAAUCAAAACUUGAUGAUAAAUAAAAACAAUGAAAUCAGAAACAUGUGAUCAUAAAAAUAUUACCAUAGAUUGUGACAAUCCUUGUCUUCGGACGUGUAACUUGGUAGUUAAUAGAAACUUCUAAUUAAGAGGAGUGGGAUAAAGAUUAAAGAGAAAUAUUUUAAUCACCUUUACUUGGACUUCUUUUUGGGUGUUCUUACUUCGCACUAAACUAUUUCCUUUAAUGCUUCGCCAGUCUUUGCCCAUCACCAAGAAAUCAUUUGGAACAUCAAAUUAAAAAUGCUGAUAAAUGUAAAUGUCAACAAAAAAAAAUAAAAAAUGACUAAAACAAAUGUAAAUAGGUUUGUCACUUAGGCAAGCAGCAAAUAAAUAAUUUGACUGCGCAAAGAUGUAUAGAAACACAUAAGUUGAAGUUAAAAACCUUUGCCUGAAUUAAUUGUACAUCCUUCACCACAAACUCUGCAGCUUUGUUAUGAUCCUCUCUUUGAAGGACAGAAUAUACAUCGUUGACUAGAGCCUCCUCAAAGUUUAAGCCACAAAAGUUGUCAAAUCAAUAUCUCCAUAAGAAAGAUAGAUCUUCAAGGGAUUGAUCCAAAUGGAAUUACUUAUAAUAAGUAUAAAUAAAAUAAAUAAUUAACAUCUAUUUAAAUUGUUCAGUAAUUCAUAUUUAACGUUCUUACGUUCAUGAUCGCAUCAAUAAACAACCAAUGAAAAAUCAUAAGAAUUUAUUCUCAACAGAUUAAAGAUGAAAAAAAAAACAUCAAAUGGCUCAUUCAUCCACCACAACUAAGAGAUAUGGCUAUCACUAUAACACAAAAGCACAACUAUACAAAUAAAUAAUGGAAUGAAGGAAAAAUUAUUUUUUAAAAAUACCCUAUAUGAAAUGGGAGUAAUCAAAUUUCUUUUUAUAUAUUUAAUGGAGUUAAGAAACAACAAUGAAAGCCGAAAAGAAAAAAAAAGGGGACAAAACAAAACUGGGAAAAGAUAGAUAGUAGUCAAAAAUGAAAAGAAAACCCUUGAGAAGAAAAACGCAAAAUCAAAGUAGAGAAAGACACAAAACACAGAAAAUAAGAAAGCAAACUAGCCAAACUCAAAGGGAGAAAUCAGCAAAAACAGAGCAUACAAAUCAAAAAAUGAAGGACACAAACUCGAAAGAACAGAAAGUAUGGCCUUAGAGUAACCAAAAUAAAUAAAGACAAACUCCUCACCCAAAUUUGAAAAUCAAGUCAGACGUGAAACGAAAGCAUGAAAAGCAAGUUAAGCACGUCAUUCCAUUAAAAUCACACACGUGUUUUGUCUGAAAAAAUACGCAGUUCGAGACACCAAACACAUCACAACACCAACUUGGCUCCUCCAACCUUCACGUGGUAAAACUUGGGGACCUGUUGGAGCAUGAAAGCAUUUUACACAAUACCAAGGACUUGGAUGAAAAUGCGUUCAAUGGAUUGACGGGGGUAAAGAUUUUUUUUUUAAAUGUUGCUUUAAUUUAAUUAUGUGUUAAUUGACUCUUCUCUAAAUUGACUUACUCAUUAUGGAUUUAUAAAUUAAAAAUGUGAACAUUAUCUGAGUUGACACGUGGAUAAAUAAGGAAGCCCUUUUGGGGCUUCGUUUUACUUACGUUAUAGAUACUUGUGAAUGCCGUUGAUGCCUUGUCACUAUGAAGAAGGUAACACAUGUAUAGCUAGAUCUAAGAAUAGUACUAGCCUAUCUAUUCCCCGGUUGUUUAUCACGCAAAGGGCGAAGAAUCUUUCAAAGUUCGAUAAGUACUUUAUUGAAAGUACGAAUUUGCUUUUGAUGACUCCGUGCCAGCUUUUUCCUUGUCUUUUUCCCACACUGCCGCUGGCCUCCAACAAACUACUGGUCAUGGGGUCUUUAUUCCAAUGCCUUUACUCAAGUGUUAAGCUACCCCACACAAACUCUUUUAACUUUCACACAGCAAAAAACACCUCUUUUCCACAUACGUACUUCGAUCUCCAUUUUUGAUUUCUCUCUUUCUUUCCUGAGCAUAACUAUCAUGUCUUUUCUUGGGGAGGUUGCUCUCACAGCUUUCUUUGAUGGGUUGUUUGGCAAGCUAUCCUCUUCUGAUUUCCUCAACUUUGUAACUGAAAAGCAGGUCUUCCAGGAGAUCAACAAGUGGAAAAAGAUGCUGCGGGAUAUCCGUGCCGUGCUUGAUGAUGCAGAGGGGAAGCAGAUGAAGGAUCAGUAUGUGAAGAACUGGUUGGCCGAUCUUCAAGACUUGGCUUACGAUGUUGAUGACAUUUUGGACGAGUUUGCCACUGAAGCUUUGGGGCACAAGCUGACAUCCUUGGAGGAACCUCAAGGCAUAAAAAAUAAGGUACAAAAGAUCAUUCAUGCUUGUUUCUCUUCAAAAACUUUCAUGUUUAAUAAUAAGAUGAUGUCCAAGAUUAAAGAGAUCAGUGCUAGAAUGAAUGAUUUGGCCACACAAAGAACUCAAUUGGAAUUGCGAGGCAUUAAUGGGGGAGCAAGGUCCAACAGACUGAUACAAAGGCUUCAGCCUACUUCUUUGGUGGAUGAAACUCAGGUGUACGGUAGGCAAGAAGAAAAGGCAGCAUUACUUGAAUUGCUUCUGAGCAAUGGUGGUACUGACAAUGAAGCUUCUGUGAUUCCCAUCGUUGGCAUGGGAGGAAUUGGCAAGACAACUCUCGCACAACUUGUCUACAAUGAUACUAGGAUACAAAAUUCUUUCCAUGACAAGGCGUGGGUAUGCGUUUCUGAUGAUUUUGAUGCCGUUAUGAUAACGAAGACAAUUCUACAAUCAAUUGCUCCUGAUUCUUGUACCAAUAUUAAUGAUUUCAAUUUGCUUCAAGUCAAGUUGAAGGAGAAGCUGGCUGGGAAAAAGUUUUUGCUUGUCUUGGAUGAUAUCUGGAACGAGAAUUAUCUGGAGCUGACCAACCUACUCUCUCCAUUCAGAGUUGGAACCAAAAUUCUCAUUACAACACGGAGUCACAAUGUUUCUUCUAUUAUGGGCACUGUUAAAGCUUACCCGCUACAAAAGUUAUCACAGGAAAAUUGUCUAUCUGUAUUUACUCAACAUGCAUUAAGGGCAAAUGAUUUUAGUGGGCAUCCUGAAUUAAAAGAAGUUGGGGAAAUUAUAGUGAAAAAGUGUAAAGGCUUACCUUUGGCUGCUAAAGCCAUUGGUGGUUUACUACGCACUAGCCUGUACUAUGAGGCAUGGAAAGGUAUAUCAGAAAGCGAGAUAUGGGGCAUACCAGAAGAGGAAUGUGGCAUAAUUCCAGCUCUACGUUUGAGCUACCAUCAUCUUCCUUCACAUUUGAAGCGAUGCUUUGCAUAUUGCUCUAUACUCCAUAAAGAUUAUGAAUUCGGGGAGGAGGAAAUAAUCCUGUUAUGGAAAGCAGAAGGUUUUCUACAACCAGCAAGCCUUGGAACUCAACUCGAAGUUCUAGGUAGUCAAUAUUUUCGAGAUCUAGUCUCAAGGUCAUUUUUUCAAGCAUCUACUAGGAACAAAUCUCGAUUCAUAAUGCAUGAUCUUGUCAAUGAUCUAGCUCAAUCGGUUGCAGGGGAAAUAUGCUCCAAAUUGGAGGAUGAUAAACAGUUGAGAUUUUCGAAAGGUACUCGACAUUCAUCUUAUGUUCGUGGUCGUUAUGAUGGAAUGAAAAAGUUUGAAGCCUUAAAUCAAACAAAGCAUUUACGAACCUUUCUACAGUUUCCUGGAUCGUCAUGGGCACCUGAAGGUGAUUGUUAUUUAAGUAAGAAUGUCCUGGUUGAUUUACUGCCCAAACUUAGAUGCUUAAGAGUUCUUUCUUUGAAAGGGUAUCGCAUCAUUGAGUUACCAAACUUUUUUCAUAACUUAAUGCAUUUGCGCUACUUGGACUUUUCUCAUACUACAAUUAAAAGUUUGCCUGAUUCAAUACACAUCCUUUAUAAUUUAGAAACUUUACUAUUAUGUGGUUGUAGAUUGCUUGAAAAUCUACCUUCAAAUUUACAAAUUCUAGUCAACUUACGUGUUCUCGACAUCACUAAUACACCUUCAAUGAAAGGGAUGCCAUUUGGAGUUGGUAACUUAACCAAUCUUCGAAGACUAUCUGAUUUUGUUUUGGGCAAAGGUGAUGGACAUCAUAUACAAGAGAUGAAGAAUUUGUUAAAUCUGAAGGGUAAGCUUUGUAUCUCAGGGUUAGAGAACAUUGUUAAUGCUCAAGAUGCAUGGGAGGCUAAGUUAAUAUAUAAGUCAGGCCUUCGCACAUUAGAACUAAAGUGGAGUAGAGAAUUUGAUAGUAAUAGAAAUAAAGAAGUUGAAGAAGAGGUCUUGAAUUUGCUUGAACCUCAUAAAAAGCUUGAAGAGCUCUUCAUUCAGGAUUAUGGUGGUACAAAAUUUCCGAUUUGGAUGAAUUCUUCAUUACAAAAUUUGCCGUCUUUGGUUCUCAAGGGCUGUAAAAAUUGCGUAUCACUACCAUCAAUUGGAAAAUUACCAUUGUUGAAGAAUCUUUCUAUUGCUGGAAUGGAUGAGUUAAAAAAGGUUGGCAUUGAGUUCUAUGGGGAGAAUCACUCAAAUGCAUUUGCUUUGUUACAGAGUUUGAGCUUUGAGAAUAUGCCACGAUGGAAGGAAUGGGACUUAGUUGAUGAGCAAGUUGAGAAAUUCCCUAGCCUCAUCGAGCUUUCCAUCAAAAACUGCCCUCAAUUGUUGGGAAGGUUGCCUAACCAUCUUCGUUCCUUGGAGAAGCUUGAAAUUCGUGACUGUGCACAAAUGGUGGUUUCACUUUCAGACCUUCCAAAGCUGUCUCAAUUACAAAUAGAUAGGUGUGCAGAGUUGGUGCUUAAAGAUGAUGCAGACUUUUGCUCAAUAAAAAAAAUCCAUCUUUCAAACGUUGGAAAGUUUUCUACUCCAACAGAAAGGCUGGUAUCAACAUCAACAACAUUGGAGCAUUGUGAGAUUUCUGAUUGUGAGGGAUUGACAUAUUUAUCGCUAAAGAAGUUGGGACUGUUGGGAUCUGUCCGUAAAUUGGAAAUUUAUAAUUGUCCACACCUUCUGUUUUUAGAGCCAGAUGAGGUAGAGGAGGCAGAGGAGGAGCUGUUUCAAGUUGGGAAUCUUUGCAAUAUCGAAUCUUUGAUAAUAUGGCAAAUUGGUCUUAAUAUGGAAUCUUUGAGAAUAAGAAAGCAUUUUCUCCCAUUUCUUACAGAGAUGAAUAUUCAAAACUGCCCAAACAUAGUUUGUUUUGCAAAGAACAACUUUCCCCCACUUCUGAAAAAGUUAGAGAUUGUAAAUUGCGAGAAUUUGCGGUGUUUGGUGGAUGAAGGAGAAAAUAUAAGCAUCGGUAACAUAUCUUCUCUUGAGCUUUUGGAUAUUGAUGGCUGUCCAUCUCUAAUAUCAUUAUCAUUACCUGUUAGGCUUCGACAUCUUAUACUUAUGAGUUGCUCAAAGCUAGCUUCCUUAUCAGAAAGUGGCAAGUUACCCAUAGGGCUUAAACAGCUUGACCUUUCUUUCUGCCCAGAGCUCAAAUCCAUUGCAGAAGUAAUUGAUGAAAAUGCUUGUCUUGAAUCUAUUAGCUUCUUCAGUUGUGGUAUUAAAUCUUUACCGCAAGGAUUAGACAAGCUCAACCAUCUUCGGAGUAUUGAAAUAAUGAGAUGUUCAAAUCUAGUCUCGUUGGAAGGGGUUUUACCCACCACCAAUUUGACUGAGCUUUCUAUCUCCAACUGUGAAAAUUUGCCAGCCCUGCCCAAUUGCAUGCACGGCCUCACCUCUCUUCGAGAAUUACAGGUUGAGAAUGAUUCAGGUGAUCAGAUAUCCAUUCCAGAAGAGGGUAUCUCUACCAACCUAACAUCACUUUCCAUCUCAAUACCAAGAAAUUAUGAGUCUCUACUUGAAAGAGGAUUGCAUAGACUCCCCUCUCUUAAAACACUUUGUAUUUCUGGUGAAGGAUGUCCGAAUAUGGUGUUGUUUCCACCAGAGGAGAUAGGAAUGAUGCUGCCUCCCUCUCUCACCCAUUUGAGCAUUGAAAAUUUUGAAAAUUUGAAAUGCCUAUCCUCCAAAGGCUUUCAAAACCUCACCUCUUUUCAUCAUUUGUCCAUCUUCUCUUGCCCUAAGCUCACAUCUCUUCCUGAAAAAGACAUUCUUAACUCGCUUUUGCAGUUAUUCAUUUGUGCUUGUCCAUUGCUAAAGGAAGAGUGCACAAGGGACAAAGGACGAGAGUGGUCCAAAAUAGCCCACAUACCUCGUGUUCAAAUUUUUGAUUUCUUACCCUUUUUUUGACACCCAAAGGAGUUGAAUUGAAACUUGACUGUAAACUCUGAAAAAAAAAAAAAGAGUUGGCUGUGACAAUCACAGGUAUGAAACCAUUGAAACGUAUGGCAAUUUAGAAGCUUCUCAUUUUUAACUACAAAAUGAAGCUAAUUAUAAUAUUUUUUUUUCAUCAUUGAUUAUUUUCAGGCAAUUCAAAAGCUUUAGAAGGUAACAUGGUGAGAAACUGGGCUUCUCACUUUUUCAUCUAUAAUGGCAGAAUCAAUGUGUAAAGUUUAAUGGUUGGUUAGUAAACUCAUGCUCAUACAACUUCAGCAGUCUACCUGGCAUUUCAAAAGAUCAUUUCAUGGAAAGGGUGGACUCAACUCUGUUUUUCUUGGGCCUCGUAUGUUGAUUUCUUCCUUUUUCAUGCCUAUGAAAGUGCUGCAGAGGUUGAUGAAUGGAGCGGUCCGUUAAUUCUCUGCAACUUUUGGCUACAUUUUUAGUGUUUGAUAAUCAUUUGAUAUUCUAAUAAAAUACUAUUGAGUUUUCUUCAUUUCUAUUAUGAUGCAUUAGGUGCAUUUUUUACAAAUUCAAAGUCUGCCAAUUCUACUUUACUUGACUAUACCUGGAUUACAUCCUUCAUUUUAUUCUUUUAAUUUCGCAUCAUUCUUAUUUGGUCUUUGUGUGACAAUUUCUCAUACUUCAAUCUAUCUUACUUUUCUUAAUUUUUUGGAGAAACUGCUUUAUAAAGAAAAGAAAAGAAAAGAAAAGAGAGGAAAGGAAUAUAAGAUUGCAUAUAUGAAGGUUAGAUGCUCCAUUGAAUUCAUUAAGAAACUUUAAUCUUCUGUUAGAUUUCCAUUACUACUUUGGAUCUCCAAUAGACUAACAUAUUUUAGCCCUUCAUUGAUUGUACUUUUUAGUUUCAACAGUAUAUAAGAGAUGAGCAAUGUUGCUUAUUUUAUGUGCCUUGCUUGUUCUCAGGUAUUUACCGAUCUGCAAUUGCCUUAAUUCUGCAAUCCAUCUGAAAAGUACUCAAACUCACUUUUCCAACUAUCCAUUGCUAACUGUCCUCUAGUAAGUAAACAGUGCAAAAAGGGAUAAAGGAUGGAGCAGUUGAAGAUAGCUUGCAUGUCUUAUGCUUGCAUGAAUGACAGAUUACUCAUUAUCUGGGCAGAAAAGGAAAAAGGUUUUAGAUCUCAUAAGGAAACUUGGAUAAAUCAGUGAAAGAUAUAUCACAUCUCAUUCAGGUUUUAACACAAGGUAUGUAAAUAAGAAAAUUUCUUUUAUCUUUUUUUUUUAAAAGAAAUCCAAAUAAUUGAUUAAAUUUUGAAUGAUAACAAAGUGUUCAUUGAAUUGUACAUGCAGAAACCUGAACAAGAAUAUGAAGAAGGGAAGAAUGAAUUCUGGCCUCCAAAGGUAAUUUGAUGACCUAAUAAUAUAUGGUGAGAUGUCAUUAGGUAACAAUGAAACAAUCCCUCUUAAUUAAACCAUGUUAUGUAUAUGUUUGAAAAGAUGGAGGUGGAACUCUCUCUAACCGUCAUUCUCAACUUUCAGAUAAUCUAGGUACUUUGGGAUGCGUUUGGUGCAAAAGAUGAUGGACAGGAUAUGAUAAAAAUCAUUCUAUCCCUUGUUUGAUGUGCACUUCAAAAAGAAGGAUUGGAUUACAAAUAGAAAUUUUAGUACUGGUGAAGUGGUAAUCGUCGCAUGCUAGCGAAAAUCAAAACUUUACCUGACUUCAUAUGCACCCUUUGCAAUUUAGAGACCUUGCUGUUAAAGCGAUGUCACGAGUUAGAAAAGUUAACCUGAGAAAUAGAAAUUCUAGUCAAAUUGCAUCAUCUAGACAUUACAAGUCAUACAAAUUCAGCGAAAAGCAAUGACCUUUGGAACUGGUAGAGUAACAAUGGAUAUAGUCAAUCUUUCAAAUAUUUAAAAAUUUUGUACUCUAACAGAGAGGCUGUUGUCACGAUUUGGAAAAUAGGAAUAUUUGAUGGUUGAUAGUUGCAAGGAAUGGACAUGUUUAAUUGCAAAAGGAAUUGGGAUCCCUUGGGAGCCUAAUGUUUCUCCCUUGGCUGAGAGUUUUGAAUUGUUCACAAGUUGUACUUGUAUCGUUAAAGACAGAGGAAGCAGAAGAGGAGCAUUUGCAACUUGACAGGCUUUGCGAGUUUCAAUGUCUAACAAUUACGAAAUGUGAACAACUUCAAAGGCCACCAAAGGUCUUGGAUUUGGUCAUGUUCCUUGCAGAUAUACAGAUUGCCAAUGCCCAAGCAUGGUUUCUGUUUUAACUAAUAACCUGCUUCUGCCUUGAAGAAGAUUGAGAAUUGAAGAUUGCGAGAAUUAACAAUGUUUGGUGGAUGAAGAAGAAGAUGCUAGCACAACUUCACCUCUCUUAAGGCAGUGACGUUUGUUGGCUGUUCAGCUGACAUUUCCUUUCCUAUUCUACGGCGUCUCCAUGGCUAUUAAGAUAUGAGGCUGGCUUUAAUGAGAAAAGGUGGUGGCUGGAUGAGAUUAGUUUUCUUUGUAAGCUUUGUUCUCUGCAUUGGCUUAGAGCUUUGGCUGAUGUCAUCUUGUUUUCAGGCUAAGAUUCUGUGGCCUGCUUCCCUUUCUUCACCAGUAACGUCUCUAAAGGCCUGCUGGCUGCGGUUGAGUGUUAAGAGAUUCCUCUGGCUCUAUUCUAGCUUUGCUUUCUGGCCAAAUUGGUGUGUUAGACUAAUGUUGCUGAAAUAAAAUACUAUAUUUGCUUCGGAAAUAUUCUCUAAAACAUAUUGGAAAGGGAAAAAGGUGCUGGUGGUUGGAUCAGAUUCGACAGUAGCUGUGCAAUUUUUUUUUGUUUUUUUUGUUAAGCCAUCAGAAGCUUUCAUUAAAACAAUGUAAGAUUACAGAUGGUCAAAAAUCAAGACUAGCAAGUAAAAACCCCCUUACAUAAGAACAGAAAGCUCUUAGAAGCACCUAGAAAAACAUCAAAUCAUUUUGUCUUGAAGCCAAUUCAGCGAAUCAUCUCUCAUGGUAUGUGUAAUGUACCAUGGCAUUGCAGAACUUGGGACAUCUUCCACAGGAUGCUUCCACUGCUACUGAUUAACCUUCAAUGUUCAUUCCUGAUAAGCGCUGGAGAUGGUGGGUUCUAGUAGUGCUCAGCAUCGCCUUUCUCUUGCUUGGUCAAUCCAAACAGGUAAAUUCUAUUUCAAUCAUGUUAUAAUAUACGCUUUAACUUAAUCGAUAACAGAAUCAACUAUGUUAUAAAAUUUGUAGAAAUGGAUUAAUAUUGUAUUUCGACGAGAUUACGAUUUUAUCUUAAUAGGUUUUUAUUUCGAUUAAACUCCAAUUUAUUUCAAAUCAGAGUUUUUACAGAAAAUUUUAAAUGAAUGCCUCUUGAAUUAUGAUGAAACUAAUUACUAAGUGAUUGAUACGAUGAAGUAGCAAUUUCUUUUUCUUCUUUCUUUUUCAUUUUUAUUGUGUGAUUUCACGUUUUAAUAACUUGCAUUUAUUAAAGGAAUUUUUUAUUUGAAAAAAAGUUUGAGAUGUAAACCUGAUACAUUGAAUCGAGUGCUUAGAUAUUAUUAAGGGGGCAUUUCAUUGAGACCAUGUGAGCACUGCUACAUAUCUAUAGUUGUCAUCUAAUGGAUUAAAUUUGGUUCAAUUUUAUCACUUUACUUGAUAAUAGUAAGCCAAAGGAAAAAUAAGUAAAUUCAUCACUUUACUAAGUAUAAUGGAUCACAUUUAUCACUAGUUAUUGAACAGAAAUGAUUUGAUCUCCAUAUUUUUUAAUUGAUCUAAAAAAUUGUCAAUAAUUAAUGGUAAAAGGAUAUUUCAAUAAAAAAUAAAGUAAUAUUUUAAUUUUGAGUAUUUUUAAACUAAAUUUAAAAAUAUUGAUAAAAUUUUAUUUGUUUAAAUAUGAAUAGUAAUUGUGAGCAAAAAUCUAUUAAUUACUCACUGGAAUUACAAAUGUGGUAGUCUAUAGAACAUAAAUAUAAAAAUUGUAUCAUUCGCUAACAUCAUAAUGUUUUGGAUGAUGCAAAUGUUUUAAACACUUGCCAACACAUUUAUUAAGCAUUUAUACACAAUAAGCAUUAUUAACACUUGUAUAAAACCACCAAGUGUUUAACAAAGGAUUAACGUUAACAUGCAAAGCUUACACGUUUAUAAACAUCAAGAGCAGCAUAGGUUCUGGUUUACUAAACUAGUACAACAGAGCAAAAUGGAACACACGACCAAUACAUAAUUCUAAAAGCACCCCAAAAUAUAAUUCAAGCUAGUUUUUUAUCUCAACAAUAAUAUACGUAAUCUAUUCAUUAUAUCAUAAGUCCAGGAAGAGCCAUGUCUAAAAUGUAAACCACAACACUCUUUUGAUGAUGGCAGGUUCAUUUACUCACAGAGAUAGGGCGUGCCUCUUUUACCUGAACACUGUUUAGGACUCUGGUGUCAAGAAGUUGAGGAGGAUUGCAAUUAAUCAUGUUCUAUAUUUAUGUAAAUGUUCCUACAGUUCCGGUGCAAGUUACUUUCUCCCAUGAUGCUAUCUUGGUCUCAUCCACUUUGCAUCAAAUUCCUCUUGCAAUGCUUGUGAGCCUUUUCUGGAUUACUCUGGUGGUUUGCUUUCUGUAUAUUCUGCUGCCUCUCCAUGGCUAGUAAGAUAUGAGGCUGGCUUUAAUGAGAAAAGUGGUGAGUGUGUGAAGAUUAUUUUUCUUCGUAUCUCUGCAUUGGUUUAGAGCUUUGGCUGAUGGCGUCUUUGUUUUUGGGCUAGGAUUCUGUGGCUUUAAGGAGACUUGGUGAAGUCUUUGAAGCAUGUUGCCCUGUCAAAUUUAUCACCUGUUGAUUGUCAGUGGCAUCCAGAAGAAAUGAAUGGUUAUUUAUCACCUGUGCAAAACAGCUGGAUUUCCAGUUCUCUUUCUCUCAAUUGUAUUUUUCACUUCCCCUAAAAAGUUGCCCAGUACCUGCAACAACACAAGCCAGCCUUCACUUUUCUUGUCUUCGGUAGGCCUUUGGUUUCUUCUUGUAGAUACUAGAUUUUGGUUAAUACUGUUACUCUAAAGAAUUAUGUUACAACAUAAUAUUAUAUAGAGAACAACCAGAACAAGUGAAGUGUUACUUCACGCAGAAUAACUAGAACAAGUGAAGCGUUACUUCACGCAGAACAAGUGAAGCGCUACUUCACGCAGAACAAGUGAAGCGCUACUUCAAGUAUUACUUAAAGCAGAACAAUUAGAAAAAGUAAAGUAUUACUCCAUAUAGAAUAACUAAUACAAGUAGAACAACCACUUUGAAUAGAAUAACUGUUUCACUUGGAUGACAGUGAAAGUAACUCAGAAUAAGUGACAGGGUUCAUGGGUUACUUUCAUCUUGGGAUGUUUCAGAGAGUUUGGCUUGGUGGCUGAGAUAUGGAGGUAGUUAAGAGGUCUUCCUCUUAACCCUUUCCUGAAGUACAAGUGUUUCACCCUCUUAUCUUGUUCUCGUAUACUUAUUCAUGUACAGCUUAUUCUCUUGUACCUAUUCUCAUACAGCUUCUUCUCUCGUACCUAUUCUUGUACACCUCUUUUCUAUUACCUUUACUUGAGAACAAGUCUUACUACAUUCAAUUACAGUAACGGUUACUUACAUUAAUAUUCUUCAUAAUAAUGUCAUUCAUUAGGCGCAUUAAAGCCUAUUCUUAUGUAACCGUCACUUUUAACACUAUAUAUAGAGCCUCACAAUUCAUUUGAAAGGACUCUUCUUUCCCUCUCCAAGUUAACACAUUCUCAACUUGAGAGCUUCUCUCUCUAAAUUCUCUCUCUAAUUAUCUUGUACUCUCUAAGUCUCUUUAAUUCUUUUCUUAUUGUCUUCCACCUGUCACAGCACUUAGUACUUCAGGAACUGCUUCAAUCUUCCUCUCUGCCUCCUCUGGCACAUCCUUUUACUUGUUUGCAACACUUCCUCUCCCUAUCACAAGAAACCCUGAUUACACUUCUUAUUUCAACUUUUUGUUCAUUCAUAGCUUCUAUGGAAUGUACCUACAAGCUUCUUAUUACAACUUGUCCUGCAAAUUUUAAUUUAGAAUUUCAAUGAAUGAUGUCUCUUAUUCACAAAGUCAAAUUCAAACUUCUUUCCCAAAAUAAAAUAUACAUCUUUUUAAAAGUUGCAUCUGCCGAGUCAAUUAUCAUGUUAUCAUAUUGCUUUAAUAAUCACGAAGAAACCUGCAAUUGCUAAUUUGAUUUUCUGGUGCUUAUUUUGAUUUCAGCCUUUCAGGAAUUUUUUUGCAUUUUCCAUUGCCAAUUGAGUAUUCACUAGGUUUGCUUUGGUUAAGGCCAAAAGAGGUAGAGAAUUCCUGCAAUGUGCAACAAGCUGUCAGUUCUAUUACAGAAGACAAGUAUGGUUGAUUUGAUGGCAAACAUCAUUACUGGGAGAGACUCAUCAAAAAGAUAAAAUUUGGAAUUAGUUUUUUCAUGAAUAAGUUAUAAUGUUAGAGAUGCUCUCUUUUUUCUGUCUCCUUCCCUAAGACAACAAUGUCCUUCCACAAUAACUUGCUGUUCUUUUAAUUUCUUCUAAAGUAAGCACUUGGCAAAAAAUAUUACAAUUGGGUAUCUUCUACAUUCUCAUUUGUUAUUUCUUUUUUUGGAUUAUUAUUCAUGUAUUGGAUAAUAUUAUUUUUUUAAUAUUAUAAUUAAGUUUUAAUGGAUGAAAGGUAUUCAUUUAGGUAUAUUUUUUAAAAAUAAUAAAUUAUUUAAUUAUUCAAUAAACAUAUAAAAAUAGUUUAAACUCACUCAUUACGUUAAAAACUUCAUUAUCGGUAAAUAAAUAAUAAUAAUCUAUUUCUUCCUAAAACCAAACAAACUCGUUACUUUAUUUCUUUCCUUUCGUUUUAUUUUUAAUAUAGUUUUAUACUCGCAAAUUUGAACACAUUUUUUCAGGUAAUUAAAUUUAUUUAUCAUAUAAAUAAUUUGAAAACAUUUUUUGUUAGAAACUAAAUAAAAUAUUAGUUAUUUUAUUCUAGAACUUUGCAAAAGAAAGCUUUAAGAACAAUCUUUAAGAUUAGAAAACAAAAAACCAUCAUGUUAACAUAAAUAUCACUUUAAAAAGUGUGCUUAGAACAUUUAUUUAUUGCGCAUGGAAUUUGCUAUCGGUCACUCAUUGCUUUGUCCUUGUCUUUUCCCAGCAGUUGCCUCUGGCCUUCAACACCACAUACAGUCCAUCCAUGAAUCAGAAUUCCACGGCUGCAAGUCAAUACCCAACUCAAUUAUUAAGCGAUCCUCACUAACUUCUCUAACUUUCAUGCAACAAAAAUACGUCUCUUUUCCGCAUACUUCAAUCUCCAUUUUUUAUUUCUCUCUUUCUUUCUUGAGCAAAACAAUCAUGUCUGUUGUUGGGGAAGCUGCUCUCACAGCUUUCUUUGAUGGGUUGUUUGGCAAGUUAUCCUCUUCUGAUUUCCUCGACUUUGUCACUGACAAGCAGGUCUUCGAGGAGAUCAACAAGUGGGAAAAGAUGCUGCGGGAUAUCCGUGCCGUGCUUGAUGAUGCAGAGGGGAAGCAGAUGAAGGAUCAGUAUGUGAAGAACUGGUUGGCCGAUCUUCAAGACUUGGCUUACGAUGUUGAUGACAUUUUGGACGAGUUUGCCACUGAAGCUUUGGGGCGCAAGUUGACAUCCUUGGAGGAACCUCAAGGCAUCAAAAAUAAGGUACAAAAGAUCAUUCAUACUUGUUUCUCUUCAAAAACUUUCAUGUUUAAUAAGAAGAUCCUGUCCAAGAUUAAAGAGAUCAGUGCUAGAAUGAAUGAUUUGGCCACAAAAAGAACUCAAUUGGAAUUGCUAGGCAUUAAUGAGGGAGCAAGGUCCAACAGAAUGAUACAAAGGCUUCAGCCUACUUCUUUGGUGGAUGAAACUCAGGUCUACGGUAGGCAAGAAGAAAAGGCAGCAUUACUUGAAUUGCUUCUGAGCAAUGAUGGUACUGAAAAUGAAGUUUCUGUGAUUCCUAUCGUUGGCAUGGGAGGAAUUGGCAAGACAACUCUUGCACAACUUGUCUACAAUGAUACUAGUAUACAAAAUUCUUUCCAUGACAAGGCGUGGGUAUGCGUUUCUGAUGAUUUUGAUGCUGUUAUGAUAACGAAGACAAUUCUACAAUCAAUUGCUCCUGAUUCUUGUACCAAUAUUAGUGAUUUCAAUUCGCUUCAAGUCAAGUUGAAGAAGAAGCUGGCUGGGAAAAAGUUUUUGCUUGUCUUGGAUGAUAUCUGGAACGAGAAUUAUCUGGAGCUGACCAACCUACUCUCUCCAUUCGGAGUUGGAACCAAAAUUCUCAUUACAACACGGAGUCACAAUGUUUCUUCUAUUAUGGGCACUGUUAAAGCUUACCCACUACAACAGUUAUCACGGGAGGAUUGUCUAUCUGUAUUUACUCAACAUGCAUUAAGAGCAAAUGAUUUUAGUGGGCGUCCUGAAUUAAAAGAAGUUGGGGAAAUUAUAGUGAAAAAGUGCAACGGCUUACCUUUGGCAGCUAAAGCCAUCGGCGGUUUACUACGCACUAGCCUGGACUAUGAGGCAUGGAAAGGUAUAUCAGAGAGCGAGAUAUGGGGCAUACCAGAAGAGAAAUGUGGCAUAAUUCCAGCUCUACGAUUGAGCUAUCAUCAUCUUCCGUCACAUUUGAAGCGAUGCUUUGCAUAUUGCUCUAUACUCCAUAAGGAUUAUGAAUUCGGAGAGGAGGAAAUAAUCUUGUUAUGGAAAGCAGAAGGUUUUCUACAACCAGCAAGCCCUGGAACUCAACUCGAAGUUCUAGGUAGUCAAUAUUUUCGAGAUCUAGUCUCAAGGUCAUUUUUUCAAACAUCUACUAGGAACAAGUCUCGAUUUGUAAUGCAUGAUCUUGUCAAUGAUCUGGCUCAAUCGGUUGCAGGGGAAAUAUGCUUCAAAUUGGAGGAUGAUAAACAGUUGAGAUUUUCGGAAGGUACUCGACAUUCAUCUUAUGUUCUUGGUUUGUUUGAUGGAAUGAAAAAGUUUGAAGCCUUCGAUCAAACAAAGCAUUUACGAACCUUUCUACCGUUGUUUGGAUCGUCGUGGCCACCUAAAGGAUAUUAUUGUUAUCUAAGUAACAAUGUCCUCGUUGAUUUGCUGCCCAAACUUCGGUGCUUAAGAGUUCUUUCUUUGAAAGGGUAUUGCAUCAUUGAGUUACCAAACUUUUUUCAAAACUUAAUACAUUUGCGCUACUUGGAUUUUUCUAAUACUAGAAUUAAAAGUUUGCCUGAUUCAGUCUGCACCCUUUAUAAUUUAGAAACUUUACUAUUACAUGGGUGUGAAUUACUUGAAAAUCUACCCUCAAACUUACAAAUUCUAGUCAACUUGCAUGUUCUGGACAUCAGUUAUACGUAUUCAAUGAAAGGGAUGCCAUUUGGAAUUGGUAACUUAACCAAUCUUCGAAGACUAUCUGAUUUUGUUUUGGGCAGAGGUGAUGGACAUCAUAUACAAGAGAUGAAGAAUUUGUUAAAUCUGAAGGGUAAGCUUUGUAUCUCAGGGUUAGAGAACAUUGUUAAUGCUCAAGAUGCAUGGGAGGCUAAGUUAAUAUAUAAGUCAGGCCUUGGCACAUUAGAACUAAAGUGGAGUAGAGAAUUUGAUAAUAAUAGAAAUAAAGAAAUUGAAGAAGAAGUGUUGAAUUUGCUUGAACCCCACAAAAAGCUUGAAGAGCUCUUCAUUCAGGAUUAUGGUGGUACAAAAUUUCCGAUUUGGAUGAGUUCUUCAUUACAAAAUUUGUCGUCUUUGGUUCUCAAGGGCUGUAAAACUUGUGUGUCACUGCCAUCACUUGGAAAAUUACCGUUACUGAAGAAUCUUUGUAUUGUUGGAAUGGAUGAGUUAAAUAAGGUUGGCAUUGAGUUCUACGGGGAGAAUCAAUCAAAUGCAUUUGCUUCGUUACAGAGUUUGAGCUUUCGAAAUAUGCCAAGAUGGAAGGAAUGGGACUUGGUUGAUGAGCAAGUUGUGAAAUUCCCUAGCCUCGUCGAGCUUUCCAUCAGUGACUGCCCUCAAUUGUUGGGAACGUUGCCUAAUCGUCUUCAUUCCUUAAAGAAGCUCGCAAUUAGGACGUGUAGACAAUUGGUGGUUUCACUUUCAGACCUUCCAAAGCUGUCUGAAUUAGAAAUACAUGAGUGUGCAGAGUUGGUGCUUAGAGAUGAUGUAGAUUUUCCCUCAAUAAAAAAAGUCCAUCUUUCAUGUGUUGUAAAGUUUUCUACUCCAACGGAAAGGCUAAAGGAGUUGGGAGUAAUUGGACAUCUAAGGUCUGGAUCUCUCCGUGAAUUGGGAAUUUCAAAUUGUCCACAACUCGUGUUGUUAGAGGCAGAUGAGGUAGAGGAGGCAGAAGUGGAGCUGUUGAAAGUUGGGAAUCUUUGCAAUAUUGAAUCUUUGAGAAUAUGGGAAAAAGGUCUCAAUAUCGAAUCCUUGAGAAUAAGAAAACAUUUCCUCGCAUUUCUUACAGAUAUGAUAAUUGAAAACUGCCCAAACAUAGUUUGUUUUGCAAAGAACAACUUACCCCCACUUUUGAAAAAAUUAGGGAUUGUAAAUUGCAAAAAUUUGCGAUGUUUGGUGGAUGAAGGAGGAAAUAUAAGCAUCACUAACAUAUCUCCUCUUGAGGAUUUGGAUAUUAUGGACUGUCCAUCUCUAAUAUCAUUAUCGUUACCGGUUAGGCUUCGACAUCUUAUGCUUUCGAAGUGCUCAAAGCUAGCUUCCUUAUCAGAAAGCGGCAAGUUACCCAUAGGGCUUAAACAGCUCCUAAUUAUUACCUGCCCAGAGCUCGAAUCCAUAGCAGAAGCAAUUGACGAAAACGCUUGUCUUGAAUCUUUUUGUAUCUUUGAGUGUGGUAUUAAAUCUUUACCGCAAGGAUUUGACAAGCUCAACCAUCUUCGGAGUAUUGAAAUAGUUGCAUGUUCAAAUCUAGUCUCGUUGGAAGGGUUUUUGCCCACCACCAAUUUGACUAACCUUUGGAUCUCUAAGUGUGAAAAUUUGGGAGCCCUGCCCAAUUGCAUGCACAACGUCACCUCUCUUCGACAAUUGCAGGUUGAGAAUGAUUCAGUUAAUCAAGUAUCCAUUCCAGAAGAGGGUAUCUCUACCAACCUCGCAUCACUUAAAAUCUCAGUACCAAGAAAUUAUGAGUCUUUACUUAAAUGGGGACUGCAUAGACUCACCUCUCUUAAAACACUUGAUAUUUCUGGUAGAGGAUGUCCGAAUAUGGUGGCGUUUCCACCAGAGGAGAUAGGAAUGAUGCUGCCUCCCUCUCUCACCCAUUUGACCAUUCGAAAUUUCGAAAAUUUGAAAUGCCUAUCAUCCGAAGGCUUUCAAAACCUCACCACCUCUCUUCAUCAUUUGUCCAUCUCCUCUUGCCCUAAGCUCACAUCUCUUCCUGAAAAAGACAUGCUUCUCUCGCUUUUGGAGUUACGCAUUACAGAUUGUCCAUUGCUAACAGAAGAGUGCAAAAGGGACAGAGGACGAGAGUGGUCCAAGAUAGCCCACAUACCUUGCAUUAAAAUUGAUGCGUGGUGGUCAAGCGAAAGUCAAGUUUGAAAGUCACAGGUAUGAAACCAUUUGAAACGUACGACAAGUUAGAAGCUUCUUAUUUUAACAACAAAAUGAAACUAAUUAUAAUAUUUUUGUCAAUGAUUAUUUGCAGGCAAUUUAAAAGCUUUAGAAGGAAACUUGGUGGGAAACUGGGCUUCCCAUCUUUUCAUCUAAAUGGCAGAAUCAGUGUGUAAUUAAUUGUUGGUUAGUACACUCAAGCACAUACAACUUCAACAGUCUACAGGACCCAACUGGUUUUUCUUCAACUUCAUCAUUGAUUUCGGUUUUUUUUUUUUUUUUAUUCCAGACCUAUGAAAAUCCUGCAGAGGCUGAUGAAUGGAGUGGUCAGUUAAUUCUCUGCAACCUUCAUCUACAUUUUUAGGGUUUGAUAACGAUUUGAUAUUCUAAUAAAAUACUAUUGAGUUUUCUUCAUUUCUAUUAUGAUGAAUUUGGUGUAUUUUUUACAAAUUCAAAGUCUGCCAAUUCUACUUUACUUGCCUAUACCUGGAGUACAUCCUUCACUUUAUUCUUUUAAUUUCGCAUCAUUUUUAUUUGACCUUUUUUGUGACAAUUUCUCAUACUCCAAUCUAUCUUACUUUUCUUAAUUUUUUGGAGGAACUGCUUUAUAAAGAAAAGAAAAGAAAACAGAGGAAAGGAAUAUAAGAUUGGACAUAUGUAGGUUAGAUGCUCCAUUUAAUUCGUUAACAAUUUUAAUUUUCUGCAUGUCUUAUGCUUGUGUGAAUAACAGAUUACUAAUUAUCUGGGCAGAAAAGGAUAUAGGUAUUAGAUCUCACGAGGAAACUUGGAAAAAAAUUCAGUGAAUAGAUAUACCACAUCCCAUUCAAAAAGUUGAUUAAAUUUUGAAUGAUAACGAGGUGGUCAUUUAAUUGUACGGGCAGAAACCUGAACAAGAAUCUGAAUAAGGGAAGAAUGAAUUCUGGCCUUAAAAGGUAAUUUGUUGACCUGAUAAUCAAUACAAUUAAAUGGUGGCAUGCCAUUAGGCAACAAUGAGACAAUCCUUCCUAAGCAAACCAUUUUAUGUAUAACUUUUAAAAGUUUGAGUUGGAACUCUCUCUAACUUCAUUCUCAACUUUCAGAUAAUCUAGGUACUUAGGGAUGCGUUUGAUGCGCACUUAAAAAGUAGGAUAGGAUUGCAAAUAGAAAUUUAGUACUGGUGAAGUGGUCAUCGUCGCAUACCAGUGAAAAACAAAACUUUACCUGACUUUAUAUGCACCCUUUCCAAUUUAGACACCUUGCAAUUAAAGCGCUGUCAGGAGUUUGAAAAGUUAACCUGAAAAAUAGAAAUUCUAGUCAAAUUGCAUCAUCUUGACAUUAGUCAUACAUAUUUAGUGAAAGCAAUGCCCUUUGGAAUCGGUGGACUGACCAAUCUUUAAAAACUGUCUAAUUUUGUUUUGGGUGAAGGUGGUGGAUAUCAGAUAUGGGAGAUGAAGAAUUUGUGGAAUCUCAAGGGUGAGAUUUCUAUUUCAAGGUCGGAGAGCAUUGUUAAAGCUCAAGAUGCCUGGGAAGCUAAGUUGGUUGAUACCCAGGCCUCAAUGAGUUAGAAGUGGAUUCCAACUUUUGAUAACAAUGCAAGAAAUAAAGAAGUUGAAGAAGUGGUGUUGAACUCGUUGAAUUAUGGCUGUCUUUGCUGCAUUGCUGCCACAGGGGAUUAGUUUCUACACAUUUGGAAACCAGCUUGGUUGGAGUCAGGGUCAGUUACUUUUUUGCUCACCAAAUGUUUGAUUAUUUUUUGGCCAUUUGUGCACUUGUUAGUUUGUGUUUCUUAGUUAUAUUUGACUUUUUGAAUCUGUCACCAUGCCUUAUAAUGACAGUUUAUGCAGCAUUAGUUGAAAUAUUUUGUUUUUAGUUUAUUUUUACAAGCAAUGUAUCAAAUAGUGUGAGCAGUUGAAGAUGUUUUUAAUCACUGUCUUGAGUAUAUAAAUAUGUAUUCUCUUAAUGCAAAGUGAUGUAUGAAGAGUUGAAGUUCUGGUAUUUUUUGGGUUUUGUUUUCCCUCUUUGUUUUUCCAGCAAACUUUGGUCUCUUCACGGAGAGUUUAGUAUGCAUAUCCUUAAGUUUUUUUUUUUAUCCAGCAGAAACCAAGGAUAACAUUUCAUUUAUCCCUGUCUGCCCAUAAUCAAUACCAAGGAUAACACUUGUUUUUCUCUGUCUGUCUGUCUGUCCCCAAAAAACCAAGGAUAAAACCUUAUUUCCUUGGUACAAACUCUUUCAAAAUUUACAACAGCAGAAACUAAGGUUUUUGCUUCUGCCUUCAGCUGCUUCUCCUUGGGUAGCCUUAAAAAAGUAAUGUGAGCUGCCACUAAAGCCAAGAGAACUUUUUUGGUCAUCAUAAAGAGCUAAAAUAGCUCACCAUAAUAAUUACGGGACUACCAAAUUUCCAACUUGGAUAGUAGAUUCUUCAUUACAGAAUUUAUUAUCCUUGAAUCUCAUGAAUUGUAAAAUUGCAGAUCAUACCUGCAAUUGGAAAAUUACCACUGUUGGAAUCUCUUUGCAUUGAAGGAAUGGAUGGAGGCUACCAAAGGUCUUGCUUUUGGUCAUGUUCCAUGCAGAUAUACAGAUUGCCAAUGCCCAAACAUGGUUUCUCUUUUAACGAAUAACCUGCUUCUAACUUGAAGAAGAUUUAGAAAUGAAGAUGGCAAGAAUUUACAAUGUUUGGUGGAUGAAGAAGAAGAUACUAGCACAACUUCACCUCUCUUAAGCCAGUUACGUUUGUUGGCUGUUCAGCUGACAUAUCUUUUCCAAAAGUGGAUUUCCCUACCAACCUAACAUCACUUGACAUCACAUCACCCAAUAUUUGGAGGUCACUACUUCAAUAGGGUUUGCAUAGACUCAGCUCUCUUCAAAAACUAUCCAUUAAUGGUGAAGAAUGUCCAGAUGUGGUGUUGUUUCCACAAGAGGCGAUAGGAAUGAUGCUGCCUCCCCCUAUAUGCGAUAUCAACGUAAGUGAUUUCAACAACCUGAAAUUUCUAUCCUCGAAUGGCUUUCAAAACCUCACGUCUUUUUAGUCU
RNAcentral lists this long non-coding RNA (40368 nucleotides) under Theobroma cacao (cacao). RNAcentral's name for it is "long non-coding RNA (TCAC_LNC004332)". The record is from RNAcentral. Lineage: Eukaryota; Viridiplantae; Streptophyta; Magnoliopsida; Malvales; Malvaceae.